AUACAGUUAAGCAUCAGUUAAGUCUCAAAUCAACAUGCCUGCAAGCUCUUCGGUGUAUACGUCUAAAGAUUACAAGGUUGGCCUAGCUAUCUGUGAAUGUUGCAAAGGGGUUACUAAGUUCUCCUGUGUGCCUCUGCAGAUGGAGAGGUGGAAGUCCAUUUGUUUGUCCACAGCUCCCUUAUUCAAGGAUUCAGAAUAAUACAGAAAUGUCAUAUGGUUCUUCCCUGAGCAAUCUUAUGAUCUCCAGCAAUCCAAGGAGCUGAUCAAAAGGCAGAAUGAUGUGGUUGAUGAGAUGACAAUGGUGACCACGUGACACUGCCUGCCCAGUCUAAAUAUAGUACUGUAAAGUGAAUGGACCAUGAAACAUCUUCAGGACAUAAGCAGCUGUGAGAUGAGAUGGCCAAGAGGCUCUGCCAAAGAGCCAGAUGUUUUUGUCAGGCAAAAGAUCUGUCCAAUUUGACAUCUGGGUCUCAUGACCGUUUGCUUACUAUGCCCCAACCUUCUUUCAUUUCAGCAUAUUGUAAAGUCACAGGGGUGGAUAUGGGCAGAAAAUGAUUCCUUUAAAGCUGUUUUCCCACCCUCUACUUUUAUCUCUAAAGGUUAGCCAAGAAAGAUGUAUGAAAAGGUGUCCCGAUCUAAACAGCAAACCUUGCUCAGCAUUUUUAUUUGCCUGAUUAUAGAAACAUAUGGAUCUUGUUCAUUUUUGCCUUGAUUGCAUCCUAUAAUAUUUAAUAUACAACAUAAUUAGGCACCACAAUCCUAAUUCAAAGAUGUGUUGGCUGCAGGUGGUUAGGUUUAGGCACAGUCUUUGAAUUAAGAUUGUAAGGACUAUUUUCAUGGUAGAUAAAAUAAUGCUCUUCUGCCAGCUGAUCUGAGAGAUGUGCUGAGAGAGUGAUCUGCUGGCAGAAUAGUGCUGCUGACUAAGACUGUUGGCAGAAGAACCUUGGCCCGUUUCCUAGCUGUGGAGUUUGGUAAAGAGGUGGGUGGUGCGUUGGAGUUGUUGCCUCUGACCUCAGUCAUUCUGGCUGGGGAAAGGCUGGGAUGACGAGACUAAAAGGGGUUGGCUCUGGAGGGGAGGGCUCCUUCCAGCCUGGAAAGAUACCACAGUGCAAAUCUGGCCCUUCAGUGGCACAUGUGUGCACAGAGGUCCUGUUUUGGGAACUGCUUCAGGGUCUGAAUCACCAUGCCUGUAGCCUAACUGACUGGGACUAAAAGGAGUUUGCACCCAAGGAUAUCUGGAGCAAAGAAGUUUAUAGUUGUAAACAGAAAAGGGAAAUAUUCCAAGCUUUGAUUUGGAGGGCCAUGGCUAGACAAUGACAGCUCUGCAAUAUUGUCUGCCAGGUCUCUGGAGAUUAUAUAAUAUGUUUGCAAACUCCCAGGAGUCUCUGCAAUGAAAGGAGAAAUAAAGUCACAAAGGAAUGGGCUGAGGGCUCUGUUCCUGAGAACAUACAGCUGCCUCUGACCCCUCUGUAUAUUAGACAGAAUGCUUGGAAGAAACAAGUAACUUGUACAAGAACAAGCCUGUAAUUUAAAAUCAUUUGUGGGCAAUCAGGGUGUAAACCAGUUACCUGUCCUAAGUAACAUGAGGAAUGACUGCUAUAUAUUUUGGUAUGUGCAAUAAGCCAUGUUUUCAAGUUACUUUUAAAGGGCGUUGUAGAGGCACCUUGAGCAGUUUUAAAUCGUAUUUCAUGCCAUUUCUUGUCAGUUCUAAAGGGUUUUUUAAGCAACAAAACCAACAACAACCCCAAAAUGAGCAACAUUAUACUGUAAUUAGAUUUCUUUAAAAAAAAAACUUUUAAAAAGCUAAUUAAUUAGUGGCACAGUUUCAAAUAUGUUACAUAAGGCAACAUUUUUUGAAAAAAGUAACUUUCCAAUUGGAGAUGACUGCACAUGAAGAUUAACAGAGGAGAAUCCUAUAUACCUAGAUUUUCCUGUAUUAAGGCAUGCCUUCCAUCAUUUCAUAGAUGAAAACUGGGACAUGUAUGACCAAGCAACAAUAGAGUGUAGUCACGAUGGCAAAAGUUAUAAAUGAGGAAGAACACACAAGCUAGCAGAGGCUGCUGCAGUUUACAUUUGUCUGAGAAGGACCAGACUUUGCCUCUUCCUUUCCUCCUCCUUUGCAGAGCUAAUGGAGUUCAAGCAACUUUUUCACUUUGAACUCAGUUUGCCACAAUUGGAAGAGGAUGAGGAUGAAGGAAAAAGAUGAGAGGAUCAGAGUGAAACUGGGACAUUUUAAAGCAGCUGAAAAAGUGGGAUGACAGAAGAUUAACUGAGAUGGUUUCUGCCAAAUUAGAACUGUUGGAGGAUAUACAUAGGUUUUAAAGGAGCUGCAACAUUGAUUGUGUUGGAUUUCACCCCAGGAAUCCUAUGCACACUGAAAUCUGUUCAAGUAGGCCUCUCCUUUUCUUGCAUGUAACUUUAUUUAAUAUGUGAAUGUGAGAGGAGGGGCUACAAGAUGUAUUUCUUCAUGUAUAUAACCCAUGGAAGGGGGUGCAACCUCAUCCAGUAUUACCAAGGCUGUAGGAUGAUGGGAACUGUAAACCAACAGAAUCUGGAGGGCUAUAUGUUCCUUAGCCCUGGACUAUGGCCUCUGAACUAUCCUGGACUAUAGUCUCUGAUUCUAAUAUAGAAAUUAAGAAGUCUUUUUGUUAGCAGUCUUGCACAAGAUUCUAAAAGCUAUGGAAUUGACUUCAUGACUAUGCAACCCAGCUUACUAUUGAAAUAUUAAUUAGAAACACUGAAUGUUGAAGAAAAUAUUAUAACCACAGAACAAUAAUAAAAAAACCCUCAAAGCAACUCAGGGCACAGUGGUGGAAAGAAAAUGGUUUGAUUAAAUGGCUUUCAUAACUGUGAAUUGUGGCAUGUUUUUCCUCGGCAUUUCAACAAAAGGCAUAACAAUGGGGCACAAAGAGGCAUUUAAAGUCUCAAGGAUGUGGAUUAUUAAACAAACGGCAAUUAUUCUUAAUAAGUUCUUCUAAGCCUCCACAAAGGCGUAGUCUGGAGAGGGCCCUAGUGACUAGAAUGAUUUGGGGAAACCCAGGCUUUUUGCCAGUUAUGACAAGGGCCAUGCUGCUCAGCAUACUCCACUAAUGAGGCUUUUUAUAACAUUAUAU
Long non-coding RNA from Sceloporus undulatus (fence lizard), 3113 nucleotides. RefSeq lists it as uncharacterized. The transcript is spliced from 3 exons. Lineage: Eukaryota; Metazoa; Chordata; Lepidosauria; Squamata; Phrynosomatidae. The record is from RefSeq and is a predicted model, not a curated record.